Molecule: ribosomal RNA, 460 nt
Filed under: uncultured bacterium
Lineage: Bacteria
Description: partial 16S ribosomal RNA
Rfam family: Bacterial small subunit ribosomal RNA
Source: RNAcentral
CCUACGGGAGACAGCAGUGAGGAAUAUUGGUCAAUGGACGAGAGUCUGAACCAGCCAAGUAGCGUGAAGGAUGACUGCCCUAUGGGUUGUAAACUUCUUUUAUAAAGGAAUAAAACGAGGCACGUGUGCCUCUUUGCAUGUACUUUAUGAAUAAGGAUCGGCUAACUCCGUGCCAGCAGCCGCGGUAAUACGGAGGAUCCGAGCGUUAUCCGGAUUUAUUGGGUUUAAAGGGAGCGUAGAUGGGUUGUUAAGUCAGUUGUGAAAGUUUGCGGCUCAACCAUAAAAUUGCAAUUGAUACUGGCAGUCUUGAGUACAGUUGAGGUAGGCGGAAUUCGUGGUGUAGCGGUGAAAUGCUUAGAUAUCACGCAGAACCCCGAUUGCGAAGGCAGCUUACUAAACUGUGACUGACAUUGAUGCUCGAAAGUGUGGGUAUCAAACAGGAUUAGAUACCCCUGUAGUC